RNAcentral lists this non-coding RNA (29 nucleotides) under Rattus norvegicus (Norway rat). Lineage: Eukaryota; Metazoa; Chordata; Mammalia; Rodentia; Muridae. The record is from RNAcentral.
GUUAACAUUUUUGGCUGACUUGUGCAUCC